UGUACCUGGUGCUGGGAAAGAGUUGA
RNAcentral lists this non-coding RNA (26 nucleotides) under Homo sapiens (human). Lineage: Eukaryota; Metazoa; Chordata; Mammalia; Primates; Hominidae. The record is from RNAcentral.